UGUCCUACGGGAGGCAGCAGUGGGGGAUAUUGCACAAUGGGGGAAACCCUGAUGCAGCGACGCCGCGUGAGUGAAGAAGUCAUUCGUGAUGUAAAGCUCUAUCAGCAGGGAAGAAAAUGACGGUACCUGACUAAGAAGCCCCGGCUAACUACGUGCCAGCAGCCGCGGUAAUACGUAGGGGGCAAGCGUUAUCCGGAUUUACUGGGUGUAAAGGGAGCGUAGACGGCCAGGCAAGUCUGGAGUGAAAGCCCGGGGCUCAACCCCGGGACUGCUUUGGAAACUGCAGGGCUGGAGUGCAGGGGGGG
This 305-nucleotide ribosomal RNA is filed under the name uncultured bacterium. Its description in RNAcentral is "bacterial SSU rRNA". It matches the Rfam family "Bacterial small subunit ribosomal RNA", at positions 335 to 657 of the family's 1533-position model. The record is from RNAcentral.